GAAAAGAACCUAGGAACUGCUAAUUCACAAACCUGAUACUUAACCGUCAGAACUUUC
RNAcentral lists this transfer RNA (57 nucleotides) under Brookesia superciliaris. RNAcentral describes it as "tRNA-Ser". Lineage: Eukaryota; Metazoa; Chordata; Lepidosauria; Squamata; Chamaeleonidae. The record is from RNAcentral.